Non-coding RNA from Nelumbo nucifera (sacred lotus), 2348 nucleotides. NCBI's taxonomy places the organism in Eukaryota, Viridiplantae, Streptophyta, Magnoliopsida, Proteales, Nelumbonaceae. The record is from RefSeq and is a predicted model, not a curated record.
UCUCUCUUCAUCUCUAUCUCCGUCAUUGUAUUCGUUUCCGUUUCCGUUUCCAUCUCUAGCGAGUUUCCUCACCUCUCUCUCUCUCUUCUUCUUCUUCUUCUUCUUCUUCUUCUUCUUCUUCUUCUUCUUCUUCUUCUUCUUCUCUUCUCAUAGUUUCCAUCCCCCCUGUCAUCGCUGAACCAGUGGCGGUGACUUCGUUCUUCCUCUUUUUCGCUUCAUUAACUGGUUUCUUCUAGGCAACUCCGUUAACAGGUUUUGGAUCCUGGAGGAGGUUAGACAAUGAUGGCGAGGAUUUCAACAAUGUUGCGGCUUUGUUAACGGGUUUUUCCCUACGGUUCAGGUUCAACAACCAAGCUUCUCCUUUCUGAAACACUCGAUUUUCCUAAGAUAAAGGUACCCAAGGAGAUAUAUAUUUUUGGGGUCAUAGUCCAUGCAUCAAAAGUAAGAAAAAGAACACAUAAAAGAUCCCAAUCUUUCACUGGUCAUCAUCUUUCCCACUGCAACACUGAAUAGAGUGCGGCGACCCCUCUUCUUCAACUCUUCAACACUCUUUCUCUCUCAUUAUCUCCUUUUUCCUCCCCUUCUUCCUUUUUUUUCUUUUCCUUUUUCGUCUUCUUUUUUUCUUUUUCUUCUUCCUUCCCCUGUUCUAUCACCGCCACUACAACAAGUUGCAGCGGUAGAAUGGAAUGCAUCCCCUCUUUCUCCGAUCUCCCAUUCUCUCUCUCUCUCUCUCUUCUCCUUCCCUUUCAUUCUCUCUCCCACUCAUUCGUUUUUUAUUGUUAAAAUGCUUUGCCUACACAAUUUUCAGUUUUGUCGGCUGAGCACAGAAGACUGUAGCAGACAAAGAAACAAUACAUUAUAUCUGGUUUUCGAAUUCAAUUAAAACAUUGCUCCUGAUAUUAGUUUUUCUCCAUUUUGGAAAAUAUUGGGUUCUCUAGUUUCUUAUGCAGAUCUAAUCUAUAUGGAAAGUACAUUAUAACAAAGAUUUUGUUUUUUCUUAGAUUAUGAUCUCAAUAUUUCCAUCUUUUUCACUUAAUUCAUUUGUUUGGUUGUAAUCCUAAAGGGUUCACAUUUACUUAUUUUUAGAGAAAGUAGGAAACUAUGCAUAGCCACCGCCUCCUAGUUGUGCCUUUCAGGAUUCAAAAGAGUUGCAAAGAACUUGAGUCCAGCUUUCUCGCCUUGCAGAGGCAGGCGGCCAUAGAUACUAAAGACCUUUAAUCUCACUAAUUUGUUCUUCCGAUUCUCAGCUUCAAGAGAAUAGUGCCACCACGAUACUAAAUCUUUGUGCGAUAAGAAUAAGGAUCUAAUUACUGCGUUGGGAGCAAUUAAGCCCCUGCAAGGAGCUCUCGAGACUGGAACUGCGACCAUGAAGGAGAACGCUGCGUAUGCUCUACUUUGGUUUUAUUGCCUGAAAAGCCACCGACUGCACCCGGAAUUGAAAAUUUUCAUCAAUGUGAGUUGCGAAAAGACUGUGGCCGAUGACCCUCCGAUUCCAUCUCUCUCUCUCCCGUGUGUCUCCUCUCCCUCCUUGAAACGCUAGAUCUGAAAACUGGCGUAACAGAUUUGCCUACGGGCGGUGAUUUUUACCUAGAUUACAUAAGAAUGACCAAAGGUGAAAACAUUUUUCAUCUCAAAGGAGAUUUGGGAGCUGGUAGAAGAAGGAUAUGAAGAACCAGAAAAUCGUGAAUAACUUGCAACAUGGACUGAAGACAAGAAGGAGUACAAAGAAAAUAGGAAAGAUGAUGCUAGAGCCCUGUACCAUAUUCAGCAAGCAGUCUAAUCAUGACUGGCAAAAGCUCAAAAGAAGCAUGGGAUAUUCUCAAGAAAGAGUUUCAGGGCACCAAAAAGGGGCUGUGGAAAAGGGUGGGAUUUGGCUAUUCACCAUGAGUUUGCUUACGGGAAGUUGAUGCAUUUUUAUUUUUGAAGAAGAUAUUUUAAUUCAUUGCAGAGUGAGUGCUUCUCUGGAUGUUAUCUCUCUGACAUAAACAUGGUCAUUUCAGCACCAACUGGUAGUGGUAAAACAGUCUUAUUUGAACUGUGCAUUUUGAGGCUUCUCUCAAGUUACUCUCAAAGGAAGGAGAGUUCAUUCAUAUAAAGGGAACUCUCAAAACAGUACGUUAACUACCUCUACAUUCCUUAAGACUUAAACGUCCAUAAUCAAGCCCUUUUUCAAUCAAGUUUUUCAUUUAAGAGUUGUUGAUAUUUUAUUCUAUUGAUUCUGAUCAUGUCUAAACUAAAUGUUCUCAAGGCAACUCUAAAUCGAAAUUUUGGUGCUUUUAGCCAUAUUAUAUGUCGAUAGCUGAUCUUGAUUAACAUUUAGUACCUUCUAAUUGACAUAGAACAGUUUA